CCCCUAGUAACGGCGAGUGAAGAGGGAAAAGCUCAAAUUUUGAAUCUGGUGUCUUUGACUCCCGAGUUGUAAUCUAGAGAAGUGUUUUCCGUGUCGGACCGUGCACAAGUUCCCUGGAACGGGGCGUCAUAGAGGGUGAGAAUCCCGUAUAUGGCAUGGACUGCCGAUGCUCUGUGAUACACUCUCAACGAGUCGAGUUGUUUGGGAAUGCAGCUCAAAAUGGGUGGUAAAUUCCAUCUAAAGCUAAAUAUUGGCGAGAGACCGAUAGCGAACAAGUACCGUGAGGGAAAGAUGAAAAGCACUUUGGAAAGAGAGUGAAACAGUACGUGAAAUUGUUGAAAGGGAAGCGUUUGAAGUCAGUCAUGUCUGGCGGGAUUCAGCUUGGCUUUUGCCUGGUGUAUUUUCCGUCCGACGGGUCAGCAUCAAUUUCGACCGAGGGAAAAAGACGUGCGGAAUGUGGCUGUCUUCGGGCAGUGUUAUAGCCCCGCGUUGUAUGCCUCGGUUGGGAUUGAGGAACGCAGCGCGCCUAUAGGCCAGGGGCUACCCGCCUCUUGACACGCGCUUAGGAUGCUGGCAUAA
This 579-nucleotide ribosomal RNA is filed under the name uncultured Sebacinales. RNAcentral's name for it is "eukaryotic LSU rRNA". It matches the Rfam family "Eukaryotic large subunit ribosomal RNA", at positions 77 to 683 of the family's 3401-position model. The record is from RNAcentral. Lineage: Eukaryota; Fungi; Basidiomycota; Agaricomycetes; Sebacinales.